RNAcentral lists this small RNA (52 nucleotides) under uncultured Saccharofermentans sp. RNAcentral's name for it is "Streptococcus sRNA SpF59 (ldcC RNA)". It matches the Rfam family "Streptococcus sRNA SpF59 (ldcC RNA)". The record is from RNAcentral. Lineage: Bacteria; Bacillati; Bacillota; Clostridia; Eubacteriales; Oscillospiraceae.
GACCACUCCUUAACGGAGUUAAGGCCAUACGGACAGCCGGGUCCACUGCCGA